Molecule: ribosomal RNA, 425 nt
Filed under: uncultured bacterium
Lineage: Bacteria
Description: bacterial SSU rRNA
Rfam family: Bacterial small subunit ribosomal RNA
Source: RNAcentral
GUAGGGAAUAUUGCACAAUGGAGGAAACUCUGAUGCAGCGACGCCGCGUGAGUGAUGAAGGCCUUCGGGUCGUAAAACUCUGUGAUAAGGGAAGAUGAUGACGGUACCUUAUCAGAAAAGACCGGCUAACUUCGUGCCAGCAGCCGCGGUAAUACGAGGGGUCUAAGCGUUGUUCGGAAUCACUGGGCGUAAAGCGGGUGUAGGUGGCUAUGCAAGUUGGAUGUGAAAGCCCCUGGCUCAACCCGGGAAGUGCAUCCAAAACUACGUAGCUUGAGUGCGGGAGAGAAAGGCAGAAUUCCUGGUGUAGUGGUGAAAUACGUAGAUAUCAGGAGGAACUCCGGUGGCGAAGGCGGCCUUUUGGCCCAGCACUGACACUCAGACCCGAAAGCGUGGGUAGCAAACAGGAUUAGAUACCCUGGUAGUCC